GCCAUCUCCUACGAUACUAUCGUCUCCCACGCGCGUCAGUACAAAGCCUGUGCGACAUACUGGCUCAGGCCUUACGGCGUCCAACAGCACGGUGCCAUGCGAUACCAGUAGAUGUGCAAGUGCUUGCGGCGCUUCGGUUCUACGCCAGCGGGAGUUUCCAGUCAGUCGUCGGGGAUGUGGCGUCUGUCAGUCAGAGCAGCACAUCCCGUAUAGUUAAUGGGGUGACGAAAGCGAUCGUCGAACUGGCGAACGAGCAAAUAAGGUUCCCAAGAACGUCGACUGAAGUCCUACAAACAACUUUAGGGUUUCUCGACAUUGCCGGGUUUCCAAAGGAUCUGGGGUGCAUCGAUUGUACACACGUGUGUGUCAAACCUCCUAAGCGUGAGCUCCGUGCAGCCUAUCGCAACAGGAAGGGCCUCUAUUCAGUGAAUGUGCAAGCAGUAUGCAAUGCAGAUUGCGAAAUUACACAACUCACUGCUAGGUGGCCAGGAAGCAGCCACGACAGCUUUAUUUAAUCUAUGUGCAACUUGCACGGCGAGAUUAAGGAAGGCAGAAUGCCUGAAGGGUGGCUUCUAGGUGACUCAGGUUACCCUCCACAGCCAUGGCUGCUGACACCUUUCCAGGCACAAUCAACUACCGCAGAAGAGAAGUACAGUAAGGCUCAUCGCACAACCCAAC
Ornithodoros turicata is the source of this 678-nucleotide long non-coding RNA. RefSeq lists it as uncharacterized. The record is from RefSeq and is a predicted model, not a curated record. The transcript has 3 exons. Lineage: Eukaryota; Metazoa; Arthropoda; Arachnida; Ixodida; Argasidae.